GAAAUAUAGAAUUUCCAAAUUAUUUAAAGUAUGUAAAAAAAAUGAGGGAGGGGCCAAGAUGACAGGGUAGAGAGACUCAUAGCUCACACUCUCCCACAAACACACCAAGAAUUACAUCUACAAACCCAUUGAAUCACACAGAUCACCUACUGAACUCUGUCAGAGUGUCUCUCAUUUCAAAAUAUAGGAAGAUUCUCACCAAAUCUGGUAAGAAAGAAAAAUGAAAAAAAUAAGAAAAAAAAAUUAGUU
This is a non-coding RNA of Vicugna pacos (alpaca), 249 nucleotides long. NCBI's taxonomy places the organism in Eukaryota, Metazoa, Chordata, Mammalia, Artiodactyla, Camelidae. The record is from RefSeq and is a predicted model, not a curated record.